CCUACGGGGGGCAGCAGUGGGGGAUAUUGCACAAUGGGGGAAACCCUGAUGCAGCGACGCCGCGUGGGUGAAGAAGUAUUUCGGUAUGUAAAGCCCUAUCAGCAGGGAAGAAAGAAGACGGUACCUGACUAAGAAGCCUCGGCUAACUACGUGCCAGCAGCCGCGGUAAUACGUAGGGGGCGAGCGUUAUCCGGAUUCACUGGGUGUAAAGGGAGCGUAGACGGCCGUGCAAGCCAGGGGUGAAAGCCCGGGGCCCAACCCCGGGACUGCUCUUGGAACUGGGCGGCUGGAGUGCGGGAGGGGCAGGCGGAAUUCCUGGUGUAGCGGUGAAAUGCGUAGAUAUCAGGAGGAACACCGGCGGCGAGGGCGGCCUGCUGGACCGCGACUGACGUUGAGGCUCGAAAGCGUGGGGAGCGAACAGGAUUAGAUACCCGUGUAGUC
RNAcentral lists this ribosomal RNA (441 nucleotides) under uncultured bacterium. RNAcentral's name for it is "partial 16S ribosomal RNA". It matches the Rfam family "Bacterial small subunit ribosomal RNA", at positions 338 to 795 of the family's 1533-position model. The record is from RNAcentral.